RNAcentral lists this ribosomal RNA (416 nucleotides) under uncultured soil bacterium. RNAcentral describes it as "bacterial SSU rRNA". It matches the Rfam family "Bacterial small subunit ribosomal RNA", at positions 26 to 418 of the family's 1533-position model. The record is from RNAcentral.
AGAAUGAACGCUGGCGGCGCGCCUAAUACAUGCAAGUCGAGCGAGAAGACGUAGCAAUACGUAUGUAAAGCGGCGAACGGGUGAGGAAUACAUGGGUAACCUACCCUCGAGUGGGGAAUAACUAGCCGAAAGGUUAGCUAAUACCGCGUACGCUCCUUGGACUUCGGUUCAGGGAGGAAAGCGAUACCGUGGUAUCGCGCUCUUGGUUGGGCUCAUGUCCUAUCAGCUUGUGGUGAGUAACGCUCACAGGCUUCGACGGUAGCUGGUCUGAGAGGACGACUCAGCCACACGUGGCACGUGCGGACUACGGGCCAGACCUCCGUACGGGAGCAAGCAAGGUAAGGUAAUAUUGCGACGUAAGUCGGGACGAAACGCCGUGACGCAGGCGACGGCCGGCGGUGGGGGAUGGAACGGUU